RNAcentral lists this transfer RNA (102 nucleotides) under Rosellinia necatrix. It matches the Rfam family "tRNA". Rfam says of the family: Transfer RNA (tRNA) molecules are approximately 80 nucleotides in length. Their secondary structure includes four short double-helical elements and three loops (D, anti-codon, and T loops). The record is from Rfam by way of RNAcentral. Lineage: Eukaryota; Fungi; Ascomycota; Sordariomycetes; Xylariales; Xylariaceae.
GGCCUCGUGGCCCAAUGGCAAGGCGUCUGACUACGAGACACAGUCUGUAAUGGACGGUUUAUGAUAAUCAGGAGAUUCUGGGUUCGACCCCCAGCGAGGUCA